Molecule: unclassified non-coding RNA, 2298 nt
Filed under: Hevea brasiliensis (rubber tree)
Lineage: Eukaryota; Viridiplantae; Streptophyta; Magnoliopsida; Malpighiales; Euphorbiaceae
Source: RNAcentral
ACUUCUUCUCAAGUACAUUACGUCUGCAAUAUAUUAUAAGCACCAAAACACUAUGCAAAAUAAGUGAAAGCACACAAGAUGAACACACAUGUAAAGACAACCAACAACUAGAAAUUGAGGGGAAGAGCUUUUAUAAUUGCUUUGAAUUUCCACAGAAUGAAAAUUCUCCUACUAGUUGAUUAUUAAUAAUAAAUUGAAUCAACCGUUUGGCCCCAGACUAAAGAUGUAAGCCUAGCCCAUCACCUAACCUGGGACAAUGUAAUAAAAUUUACAGAGGCCACAUCCCCAGCCUUUGCCUUUGAAGCCAACAAAGGUAUAUCAUUAACCCAGAGUCCUUAUACUGAACUAUGUUCCUUCCAAAUCUCAAUUGCAAUAUGCAAAUUUAACUCCUCAAAAGUCCUAUGCAAUAUUGAUCUCCAAUAGACACUAGUUUAAUAAUCACUAAUCAGUUAAGCUCACUACCAAAAUCUAGACCAUUCAUUGAAGUUCAACAUCAACUGAUAGAAGUGAUGUGGAAACUUAUUACAAGUCUCCGUGGUAAUUGACCUGACUAGAGUUCAUGCACAACAGUGGAAGAAAAAAAAGAAGGCCAUUAAUGUUCCUUUCUAACUUUACAGUUUACACAAACAGGAAGAAGGUAACUAAUGCUUCCACUAAUGUAGAAAGAAAUAAUUUUAAUGCAGAUGCCAGUUCUUCACAAAAUUAUCUUUUAUUCAAACAAAAAUUUCAAUUGAUAACUUUUCUUUGAUAAUAUUUAAACAUUUGAUGGUGCAUGGGGAAAUUUAAGUAUUGUUGUAAGACAUAAUGACACCAUGAUGAAUAAAGCAGAGCAUGAGAUGGCUAGAAUGAGCAGCUGGAAGAAGAUUCUGAAUAUGUGAUCAACCAUCAUGAUAGUCAUCAUCAAUAAGAGACCAUAGCUGUAUCAGUGAUGUCUUCAAUGAUGGGAUAACCAAGACAUGCAACUGACACUGAAGUUGAUUGGCAAUAGAAGCAUUGGAGUUGCAACGUUUUUGAACAAUUCCAAGAGACUCAUAUGAAGUGGCAUCCACACAACUUUUCAAAAAUUAAUUAGCUUCAGGAAGGCAAAAACUGCUAUUAGACCACUUUGACCUACUCCAGUGAACUAGAAAAUAACUAGAGAGACUAUUUUUUAUCAGAUAAAAACUUGAAGACUGAUGAUGCAUUUUGCCAAAUGAGGCAGCUAAUGCAUAGGCAUGUGAUAAAUUAUAUUUUGAUUAUUGCCUGGAUCUUCCAUACAAACGAAUAAACAUCUGGUGUUUCCCAGUCAUUUGCAAACAGUAAAGAAACAAAAUCAUAUAUAGAGAAUGACUCAUUUCAAAUUAGCAUUGGCUGCUUUUCCCAAAUGGCUGAAUAACCAAUUUGUUGAAGAGGGCUACUGCAUCAUGUAAAUAUUCAACUAUGACAAAUAGAUAUUACAAAAUUAUUCUUUUGCUUUUGUCCAAGGAACAACAAGAGCAAACUAAUAAAUUUUGAGACUUGUGAGGACAAUAAGUACUUUUACCAAAAUCAUUUCCCUCUUCUGAUAUUUUAUUUUUUAAUAAAAAAAAGGAAAAAUUCCAAUUAAGCAAAUCUGGAUAGCGGAAUUAGCACUCAAUACUAAGGUCAGGUUGUACAAUAUUAUGACAAGAUGUUCCAUAUUCGAACAAGAGUUAUUGCUAUUGAUUUGACAAAUCCCUGCAAGACCCGGUCAGUGAGAUCUAAUUAUUUGGGACAAAUUACAGAUACAAUUUUACAUGUAAUUUUCAUCCCAAAGGAUACUAAUCUGCACAGGCAAUAAGUUGAAUUUUCAUUGUAACAGACUAGGCCAAAUACUAUUUAAAUGAUAUUUCCAGCUGUACUUUGAGAAAUAACUAGUAUCUGCAUUGUAAACAGCCUAUAGAUCACAAAUAUAUAUUUCUAUCCCAAUUAUGGUACAUUUUUAAUGGAAAAUAUUUCAAUUAUGUAAAACUAAGUAGUAUGAAUUCCUAAGCUUAAAAAAACAAACAAAAACUUAGACACAAAUUUAUACAAGUUAAUUUAAUUGGCUAUCAAUUUGCGCUGUGCAGUAGUGUGUAAUUCUUGUCACUAUAUUAGAGUUCCACCUCUUGAUACUUAAACUUUUAAAGCCCAUCAUGAAUGAGGACAACAUUGUUUGACAAAUACAAGUUAAAUAGCCCAAUGUCAUUAUAUCCCACUGCAAAAACAAUCACAUUCACCAACCAUAUCUGCCCUUAUCUCAUGCUAUCUAAAGAAUGUACACUCCAUUACCAUUAGCAGCUUCCUUCUUAGUUGAUCAGC